CGAAGCAUAACGCAGUCCGGUAGCGUGUCUGUUUUGGGAACAGAAAGUCAUGUGUUCAAAUCACAUUGCUUCGA
This 74-nucleotide transfer RNA is filed under the name Trieres regia. RNAcentral describes it as "Odontella regia tRNA-Pro". It matches the Rfam family "tRNA". From Rfam's summary of the family: Transfer RNA (tRNA) molecules are approximately 80 nucleotides in length. Their secondary structure includes four short double-helical elements and three loops (D, anti-codon, and T loops). Lineage: Eukaryota; Bacillariophyta; Thalassiosirophyceae; Eupodiscales; Parodontellaceae. The record is from RNAcentral.